AGUGAACGCUGGCGGUAGGCCUAACACAUGCAAGUCGAACGGCCGCACAGUAAGAGUUUGCUCUUAAGGGUGGCGAGUGGCGGACGGGUGAGGAAUACAUCGGAAACUACUUUUUCGUGGGGGAUAACGUAGGGAAACUUACGCUAAUACCGCAUACGACCUACGGGUGAAAGCAGGGGAGCAUCGGACCUUGCGCGAUUGAAUGAGCCGAUGUCGGAUUAGAUAGUUGGCGGGGUAAAGGCCCACCAAGGCAACGAUACGUAGCAGGCCUGAGAGGAUGAUCGGCCACACUGGAACUGAGACACGGUCCAGACUCCUACGGGAGGCAGCAGUGGGGAAUCUUCGACAAUGGGCGAAAGCCUGAUCCAGCCAUGCCGCGUGAGUGAAGAAGGUCUUCGGGUUGUAAAGCCCUUUUGUUGGGAAAGAAAAGCAGCAGGUUAAUACCCCGCUGUUCUGACGGUACCCAAAGAAUAAGCACCGGCUAACUUCGUG
Molecule: ribosomal RNA, 492 nt
Filed under: uncultured bacterium
Lineage: Bacteria
Description: partial 16S ribosomal RNA
Rfam family: Bacterial small subunit ribosomal RNA
Source: RNAcentral